RNAcentral lists this ribosomal RNA (526 nucleotides) under [Candida] sp. FN7L03. RNAcentral describes it as "eukaryotic LSU rRNA". It matches the Rfam family "Eukaryotic large subunit ribosomal RNA", at positions 87 to 650 of the family's 3401-position model. Lineage: Eukaryota; Fungi; Ascomycota; Saccharomycetes; Saccharomycetales. The record is from RNAcentral.
CGGCGAGUGAAGCGGCAAUAGCUCAAAUUUGAAAUCUGGCACCUUCGGUGUCCGAGUUGUAAUUUGAAGAAGGUAUCUUUGGUUUUGGCUCUUGUCUAUGUUUCUUGGAACAGAACGUCACAGAGGGUGAGAAUCCCGUGCGAUAAGAUGCCCAAUUCCAUGUAAAGUUCCUUCGACGAGUCGAGUUGUUUGGGAAUGCAGCUCUAAGUGGGUGGUAAAUUCCAUCUAAAGCUAAAUAUUGGCGAGAGACCGAUAGCGAACAAGUACUGUGAAGGAAAGAUGAAAAGAACUUUGAAAAGAGAGUGAAAAAGUACGUGAAAUUGUUGAAAGGGAAGGGCUUGAGAUUAGACUUGGAAUUUUCCAUAUAUUGGAGCUUUCCGGGCCAGCAUCAGUUUGAGUGGCAGGAUAAUUGCAUUGGAAUGUAGCACUUCUUCGGUUGUGUAUUAUAGACUUUGUCGAUACUGCCUAUUCAGACUGAGGACCGCGUCUUUGACUAGGAUGCUGGCGUAAUGAUCUUAAGCCGCCC